Molecule: ribosomal RNA, 572 nt
Filed under: Atrozythia klamathica
Lineage: Eukaryota; Fungi; Ascomycota; Sareomycetes; Sareales; Zythiaceae
Description: SSU rRNA
Rfam family: Eukaryotic small subunit ribosomal RNA (bases 1-508)
Source: RNAcentral
AUCUAUACUGUGAAACUGCGAAUGGCUCAUUAAAUCAGUUAUCGUUUAUUUGAUAGUACCUUACUACUUGGAUAACCGUGGUAAUUCUAGAGCUAAUACAUGCUAAAAACCCCAACUUCGGGAGGGGUGUAUUUAUUAGAUAAAAAACCAAUGCCCUUCGGGGCUCCUUGGUGAUUCAUGAUAACUUAACGAAUCGCAUGGCCUUGCGCCGGCGAUGGUUCAUUCAAAUUUCUGCCCUAUCAACUUUCGAUGGUAGGAUAGUGGCCUACCAUGGUUUCAACGGGUAACGGGGAAUUAGGGUUCUAUUCCGGAGAGGGAGCCUGAGAAACGGCUACCACAUCCAAGGAAGGCAGCAGGCGCGCAAAUUACCCAAUCCCGACACGGGGAGGUAGUGACAAUAAAUACUGAUACAGGGCUCUUUCGGGUCUUGUAAUUGGAAUGAGUACAAUUUAAAUCCCUUAACGAGGAACAAUUGGAGGGCAAGUCUGGUGAACGAUUCAGUUCCGAUGCGCUUCGGCGCAUCUCUGCUGACGCCAGAGAUAGUAGGGCCCCCCCCCUCCCGGGGAGGGGGG